GGCUGGUUAGCUCAAUUGGUUAGAGCAUGAUGCUGAUAACAUCAAGGUUCAAGGUUCAAUCCCUGUACUGGCCA
Galeopterus variegatus (Sunda flying lemur) is the source of this 74-nucleotide non-coding RNA. The record is from the annotation of a RefSeq genome assembly. Lineage: Eukaryota; Metazoa; Chordata; Mammalia; Dermoptera; Cynocephalidae.